GACUACACAUAUUUCUCAUACUGC
This 24-nucleotide non-coding RNA is filed under the name Arabidopsis thaliana (thale cress). The record is from RNAcentral. Lineage: Eukaryota; Viridiplantae; Streptophyta; Magnoliopsida; Brassicales; Brassicaceae.